UAGGCUGAAUAUCUCGGUAGAAU
This 23-nucleotide microRNA is filed under the name Bombyx mori (domestic silkworm). RNAcentral's name for it is "bmo-miR-3397". Lineage: Eukaryota; Metazoa; Arthropoda; Insecta; Lepidoptera; Bombycidae. The record is from miRBase by way of RNAcentral.